This is a long non-coding RNA of Thalassophryne amazonica, 110 nucleotides long. RefSeq lists it as uncharacterized. Lineage: Eukaryota; Metazoa; Chordata; Actinopteri; Batrachoidiformes; Batrachoididae. The record is from RefSeq and is a predicted model, not a curated record. The transcript has 2 exons.
GAGCGGCGCGUGCAGGCGAGGAGUCAGCGCGCGCCGCCGCCGCAUCACCGCUCCGGCUCCGCGAUGACAAAAGUUCAAACUCGUCAUCGUGCAGCGGCGGUAAAGAAAAC